CCUACAGGAGGCAGCAGUGGGGAAUAUUGCACAAUGGGGGAAACCCUGAUGCAGCGACGCCGCGUGAGUGAGGAAGUAUUUCGGUAUGUAAAGCUCUAUCAGCAGGGAAGAAAAUGACGGUACCUGACUAAGAAGCCCCGGCUAACUACGUGCCAGCAGCCGCGGUAAUACGUAGGGGGCAAGCGUUAUCCGGAUUUACUGGGUGUAAAGGGAGCGUAGACGGCUAAUCAAGUCAGAAGUGAAAACCCAGGGCUCAACCUUGGGACUGCUUUUGAAACUGAGUAGCUAGAGUGCAGGAGAGGUAAGCGGAAUUCCUAGUGUAGCGGUGAAAUGCGUAGAUAUUAGGAGGAACACCAGUGGCGAAGGCAGCAUACCGGCGCCCAACUGACGCUGAAGCACGAAAGCGUGGGUAUCGAACAGGAUUAGAUACCCCUGUAGUC
Molecule: ribosomal RNA, 440 nt
Filed under: uncultured bacterium
Lineage: Bacteria
Description: partial 16S ribosomal RNA
Rfam family: Bacterial small subunit ribosomal RNA
Source: RNAcentral